UGUACAAUCAAAUCACUCCAAUAUUGGAAAUACUCUGGAUAUUUCUUUAUUGUCUACAUAUAGGAGAGGAAGAAAUCGAAGGUCUUGAGACUGCUCUUCAGUCUGGAAUUCCACCAUGGACUCUCCUGUUUCCUGGGCCUUUGUACUCAAGACUGGACCUCUAUCUCUGGCUCUCCUGAGUCUCCAGCUUACUUGACUCAUCCUGCAGAUGUGGAGACUUGACAGUCCUAAUCAUGGAUGCAAAAACUUCCAAUUACAUUCACCUCAGUACAUGUGGGAGCAAAGGGAGGGCUGAAUAUUUAAAUCAAGGCUCCUCUUACAACUUCCUGCUGGACAUUGGAACCCUGUGGAUGUCACUCUCCACAAUACCAAAUGAGAGUAAGGAGCAGCAUCUGGCCUUCUGGCAGAAAAUUCAAACCAUUUUGUUGGUAGCUACAGGAUUAUCCCUUGGAUGGGACAUAUAUCAUCCACAACUUGCCAGUGAGACUCCCAUAUUGCCUUCCCCACAGUGACUGGUUCAGAAGUACAAGUGAACAAGUGAACAAGUGAACAAGUGAACAAGUACAAGUGAACAAAGCUCAUCAGUCAAAGGUAGUGGUCAUCAAUCUUGAAGUUUUGCUUGAACUGCUGGUAGAAAAGCCAAACUGUGGUUGAGUUGGCUAGAUUUUGGAAGAAGCCUAUGUCUGCCAGUGGCCAUUUUGGUCUUGAGGAAAUUUCCUUCCUAAGAAUAAAGACAACACAAAUCAAAGCAGGACCAAGAUAUAGAAGAUGGAGGACUGCAACAUCCCACACCCCACCUUCCUCAGUGUUGGUACAAAGAUUUGACAUUCUCCUCAUUUUCUACUUUCAGUCUCUCUGACCCCGGGUCAACCACAGUGGGAAAGCAGAUCAUCAGAAGGUCAACAGUUGCCUCACACUAUGUCACAGAAACUACGUCAUUCACCUCACCUCACCUCAUAUAGUCUCACAUCAUCACAAGAAGUAGGAGCGGGACUCCUUUGCGGGGCUGACCUUGCAGUGCUGUCCUAGAGGGAGCUACAAUGGUCUUGUGGACUGACUUCCUUCAGAAGGGACUUUUAAAAGAGACAAUGGAGCUAGCAUGCCUCCUUUUAGGCUCCGUGGUCCGGGGUUGUGCAUGUCAGCUUUUCUGGAGAGCCAAGGGCAGAAAAGUUCAGGAGCCAUUGUGUCCAGCAGAAAGGAGCAAGUUCUUAGGACAUAGUGAGCUGGCCUCAGCCGCUCCAGAGACCUUCUGCGGCAGUUAGAGGCUCCCCUGCGCACCUGAACUGCAGGUCGGAGGCUGGGGGGUGCAUCCCACUGGGUGCCUUUCACACAUUCCGGCUGCGGGGGCGCCUGGAGCAGAGCAGCUGCGGGGAGCUGCCCAGAUGCCUCCCCAUGUCCCGCCCCCCGGGCGGUCUCCUGACUGCGAAGCCGGGCUUUCAGCAGCCCGGGUAGCCUGAGAAUGAUUUUACCAACGGUUUUUUUUUUUUUUGGUCUCAGUUUUUCAUCUUCCGUAAACCGGUGGGGAAAUAAUGUUGUGCUUCUUUUUGUUUUCACUUCCUUCUUGCAUGAAUUUCAAAGUUCAUCACAGAGAAGAGGUUGCGUGUUGGUGUUGGGAGAAAUGAAAGCAGAGGCAAUAAGAAAAAGUAGGCAAAAGAAUGGCAUUUAGAGGAAGAGUGGUAUCAGUCAGCAUUUCAACAAAUACCUGUUAAAAAAAUCACUCUGGGGAAAUAUGGUAAUGAGAAUUUAAUGUCAAAAUGAUUGUAAUUUUAUGCCUAAAUAUGCUCAACAUGACAAAGAAUUCUCUUAAUCUUAAUUAGGAAUAGGUGGGGGCAUUUUAAUUUUUUUUUCCUUAAACUGCAUAGCUCCUGGAACUAAUUGCCUUCCAAGAGCAAUAGAUAAUAGAAAAACACAAUUGUAUUACGUUCUGGAGAACGUAAAUAGCAUCCCGCUGAUUUCUCAACUCCCUGAACUAGAGCAGCAUCUCAAUCUAGCUGGUAGUAAUUAAAAUUCCAUAUAUCUAUCUAUCUAAAUGGAAGGUUUUACAUUUUAUGUAAUUACUGUACAAUCACCUUACUAUGAAUGAAUUCCAUGUGCAAAUGGCAAAGCAAGCUUCAAGAACUGAUUUGGUUAAGCACCCUUAAAUCUAUUACUCCUGAAUAAAAGUCUCAAUGAAAUUGUAUGCUGCUUAACAUUUUAAGGAGUUUUGUAAAU
Non-coding RNA from Leptonychotes weddellii (Weddell seal), 2211 nucleotides. The record is from RefSeq and is a predicted model, not a curated record. Lineage: Eukaryota; Metazoa; Chordata; Mammalia; Carnivora; Phocidae.